AUGGCCGCCUUGCCGCAGCUGCUUCUGGCCCUCUUCCCCGCGGUGGCCGCCGUCCUGAUCCUGCUGCUGGCCUCGGCGCCGGGAGCUCGCGCUCACGCCUCCUCGUCCUCGUCGGCGACGUACCGCUGCGGCUGGUGCCCGCGCAGGUCCACCGCGUCCAUCCUCCCUCCCGACGCCGGCGCACUCACCGGUGCCGCGUGCGGCUACGGUGGCUCUGCGGCGGCGGCGGAGAUGGCCAGCGACGGCGGCUUCCACAUUGCCGCCGUCAGCGCCGGCUUCUUUAGCAAAGGUCGGGCAUGCGGCGCCUGCUACCAGCUGAGGUGCAGGGGCCGGAGCGCAUGCGCCAAGGAUGGCGUCAAGGUCGUCGUCGUAGGCGAACUGGCGGACACGAACAAGACUGCAGCUGGCCGCUUCCUGCUCACGAAGGACGCCUUCGCCGCCAUGACCACGCCAGACCGUGGCGCCGAGCUCGCCGACGCAGCCGUCGACGUGGACUUCAGGAGGAUUCCCUGCGUGUACAAGAGCAAGAACCUGGCGGUUAAAGUGGAGGAGACGAGCAGCAGGGAGAGGGGCUACCUCGCCCUCCGCUUCCUCUACCAGGGCGGACAGACCGACAUCGCCGCCGUCGAGGUCGCCCAGGCGGUCACCGGUUCGAGCGGCACCAACAACAACGCAGCACCGUUGCAGACAUCGUGGCAGUACAUGACGCAGCGCGAGGCGUCCCCGUCGGUGUGGCGCACGUCGCGCGUGCCGGCCGGUCCGCUGCGGCUCCGGUUCGUGGUCACCGCGGGCUCUGGCGGCAAGUGGCUGCGCACCGACGGGGCGGUGCUCCCCGCGGAAUGGCAGCCCGGCGCGGUCUACGACACCGGCCUGCGGGUCACCGACGUCGCCGCAAGCACCUGCGGCGCCGCCUCCUGCUCCUCCACGGACGAGGGCGACGACGCCGAGCAGCUCAGAUGA
Molecule: ribosomal RNA, 960 nt
Filed under: Triticum aestivum (bread wheat)
Lineage: Eukaryota; Viridiplantae; Streptophyta; Magnoliopsida; Poales; Poaceae
Description: partial small subunit ribosomal RNA
Source: RNAcentral